Molecule: ribosomal RNA, 252 nt
Filed under: uncultured bacterium
Lineage: Bacteria
Description: partial 16S ribosomal RNA
Rfam family: Bacterial small subunit ribosomal RNA
Source: RNAcentral
UACGUAGGGUGCAAGCGUUGUCCGGAAUUAUUGGGCGUAAAGAGCUCGUAGGCGGUUUGUCGCGUCGGCUGUGAAAACCUGGGGCUUAACUCCGGGCCUGCAGCCGAUACGGGCAAGCUAGAGUUCGGCAGGGGAGACUGGAAUUCCUGGUGUAGCGGUGAAAUGCGCAGAUAUCAGGAGGAACACCGGUGGCGAAGGCGGGUCUCUGGGCCGAUACUGACGCUGAGACGCGAAAGCGUGGGAGCAAACAGG